Molecule: long non-coding RNA, 3047 nt
Organism: Chelonia mydas (Green sea turtle)
Lineage: Eukaryota; Metazoa; Chordata; Testudines; Cheloniidae
Exons: 4
Source: RefSeq, a predicted model, not a curated record
AGUUGCUCCCUGGAGCUUGGGGAGGUCGGAGGACUGGCUGCCUUGCAGGUAGAGGGCAGCUAGCACUUUGGAUAGAGCAGUGCUGGGCAGGAUCAGGGGAGCGAGGAAGGGGCAAAAACAGAGUGUGACACAGACACAGCCUGAGGGCUGUGUCCUGAAGAGGAUGCUGUAUCCAUGCUUCCUGGAACAGAGGUGACAGUGGGUGAGAGUGCCAGCAGAGGGUGCAGCACUAAUUCCCUGGACAGCCAGCAGGAGGCACCGCAGUGGUGAGUAGUGCCCCAUCACACAGGUGGAGGGGAUGAAAACCUGGCAAGUCUGGAGCAAGAGGGAAGUGCUGCCUCUGCAACAUAGUUUCCUUUUCACCCCAGCCCUCUGGAAGCUCCCCGGCCAGUUCAUGGAAGGAAUCAAGCCAGUGUGGAGCUGGAAAUGGCUGACCUCUGCAGCAGCUCCACCACCUCCCCAAAGCCCUGUGGCACCUUGGCUGAGUCCAGGUCCCUGUCCCCCUGCACGCUGGUAGAAGCGCUGCUGCACUGACUGACCACAGCAGAGCAGCGUUGUGCUGCACCUCCAUACAGGUGAAAAUGGAUCCACUACUGACAGCAGCUUUUUUGUCCACUGGGGAUACCUGGAUGCUGAUCAAUGUGUGGGGGGAAGUGCACCAUCCUCAGACAUUCAGCUGGAGCAGCAGGAACUUUCACCUGUAUCCAGAAGUUUCACGGAGGUUGGAGCAGGCGAGCGUUGAGCAGGCUCUGUCCCAGUGCCAGGAAUGCAUGAAGCACUCGAGGCUCCCAUACAGGAAAGCCAAAAACUCCAACAGUCAGUCCUGGAGGGCUCAUCGUAUAAUGUCCCUUCUAUGAAGAGCUGGACUGGGUGCUGUCAAGAGCCCCUCGUACUGAGCCUGAAGUGGCUCACAGUCCCCUCCUCGGCCCCACCUAUCUCAUUCUCCACGAGGACAUUGAUGAGGGCCAGGGUGAGGAGGAAGUAGGGUCUGUGGGAUGCGCCAGAAGACUUGGAGCAUGUGGUUCCAUGCCUGUACCCAGAGGGCCAGCUUGAAGAAACCUCCUGUGAUGCAACUGAGGAGGACCUUGAGCUGUGUCAGGAGCCAGAAUGGCUACAUUACAAUGGACCCCCACCCUCUCCACUGAUGUGCCCUACUGCUCUAGUGCUACAUUCCUGAUUUUAAUAUCAAGAGCAUCUGAAGUCCUGUGCCGACUUUUCCACCUUGGACAAUAUGCCAUGCAUUGCUACGUCUCUGGGUCUUUGAACUGCAGUGCUGAAGUCACAGCAUUGUCAUGCCUCAUUCCCCUACUGAACUCCUCCAACAUUCCCCCCACCCCCAUCUAGCCCCAACUCUGCUCCACCUCAAAACGGGCCUCAAGCCAGACAGAGUUCUAAAUCAAUGAUUUUUAUUGAUUUCUGAUGACCCAGAAGUAUGCAGUUGGCUUCUCAAGCUAUUUUUUCAAAAAAACACUUUAUAAUGGAAAAAAUCAGCAUGCCCCAGUAUCUGUUUAAUUCUCAGCCAGCCAGCAGUCAUGCAGCAAUGGUUCUGGACCUGUGUGGAUUGGUCAGUGAGAUUUGGAAAGGACCUGGUUGGGGAAGGGUAUAGAAAACUUUACAGUUGGUUGUCUAAGGAAAGUUUACAGCCUCUGUCCCUGGUAUCUGCCCUUUCCCGGCACAGAGCCAUGCUGCACAAGCUUACCAUUAUUAGCCUCUGCUUCUUUCUUGUGGGCUGCAAAAUUUGUCUGAGAGCAGCAAAGGCAAUGAGACAGGUACAUUCCUAGAACGCUGAAAAGUAUCAAAAUUGUGGCCUUCUACAGCAAGCUUAUGUUAUGUGGGGGGAUUUCUCGGCUUGUUCCAAUGGCCAGAAAUAUAGUGCUACUCUUCUCUUUGAAUUGGCAAGACCUUUGACUCCCAAGAGCAAAUCAUUCCACCGGCUAGGAGCAACACCCCAGAGACAGCAGAGGUAGGUGGAGAAAGACCAUGGAGGAGCUGCUCAGAGGGAUGGACAGGAGAAACCAGGAGCAAUUUGAAUUCCUCAGGGCAUAAGAGGAUCUGGCUCUUCAGCUGGAGGAGACACAUAUCACCAGGUCAGAGAAUGGGAGCACUCCCUAAUGGAGAGGCUCCUUGAACUGGUGGCCAAAAAGAGUAUGGUGUCUGCUUGCUGCUGACACCCCAGAACCAGCCCAUCAGAUGCUGCCUCCUCCGCUUGUCACCCAGGGUGCUGCCAAGCCAGAGGAUCCUGUCACAGUGACUCCCCCCAGCUGACCAGGAGGAGAAUGCUGGUCCUCCAGGAGUCCUGGAACACCACCACAUACCAACCCUGGAAAUCUGUCACAGGAGAUGUCACCAGUUCUCACUUGCCGUCACUGUCCCCCCGUUGCUCACCCCUUCUGAAAAGGAGGUGGGCAUAAAGACAUUAAGCUAUGGGCAACGUUCUCACUUGUGAGCGGUUACUUUGGUAACAAUAUGGUGUAGUUCUGAUUUCAAAAUCUUUCCAUCUUCUAACACAUACUUUUCAUAAUUAUGCUUUGCUUACUGUGUGCUAGUCCUCCUUCCUAACGAACUGAAGGUGAUUUUUUUCAUUCUUCAGUGGGACUCAAGCUUCCCACCACAUACAAUGGAGUGUUGGGUAAAAACUUGGUGCCAUCUUAGUGCAAAUAUUUUUGAGUCUUCCCCGAAAGAUUCAGAAAUAUCUUAAGUCAUGUGGAUACACGGGAGGGAUGGGGAAAGGGCAGGGUAUGGUGUUAUGUGCUUUAAAAAUCACUACUAUUUUUCUCCGUAGCAGAUGUCUAAAACACACAGAAAAGGUCAAUCAAUGGCUUAAGGAUUUUAUUACACAUGUUGAAAAUCAAAACCCAAGAACACUAAGAAAGGAAGAGGGAACAUAGAGGUAAUAAUGUCAGCCACUCCCCCACCCCUUGGGAAACCUUAACGCCUGGUCUACAGUACAAAGUUAGGUCAACAUUAGCUAUCUUGAAUUGACCAAGUUGUGCACAAGUCUACACUUUAAAGUUGUGUCCACCGAUGUAAAUGCCCUGUUAUGCUGA